GGCGGGUUGAGAGAGCCUAAUACAAUACCCGAAAGGGGAAUAUGCUCCGCCGUCUGAACACGGUAGUUGAUGCCCGCCCACCUAAU
This 86-nucleotide non-coding RNA is filed under the name Simonsiella muelleri ATCC 29453. Its description in RNAcentral is "sRNA-Xcc1". It matches the Rfam family "sRNA-Xcc1". The record is from Rfam by way of RNAcentral. Lineage: Bacteria; Pseudomonadati; Pseudomonadota; Betaproteobacteria; Neisseriales; Neisseriaceae.